Manihot esculenta (cassava) is the source of this 80-nucleotide small nucleolar RNA. RefSeq annotates it as small nucleolar RNA J33. NCBI's taxonomy places the organism in Eukaryota, Viridiplantae, Streptophyta, Magnoliopsida, Malpighiales, Euphorbiaceae. The record is from RefSeq and is a predicted model, not a curated record. The transcript has a single exon.
CUGUGAGAGGAAUGAUGUAUUACUACAGGGCGCUUAAAAUGCUUUCAUAUCUUGAUUCUGCAUCUGAAAUUGACAUGAGG